ACCGCCGCGNUGCUCACUGACGCAUACUACAAGUUCUUCCGGCUCCGCGAGGUAGCUGGUAAUCAACAAUAUGCGUCGUGAUGGGGAUAGAUCUUUGGAAUUAUUGAUCUUGAACGAGGAAUGCCUAGUAAGCGCAAGUCAUCAGCUUGCGUUGAUUAAGU
RNAcentral lists this ribosomal RNA (161 nucleotides) under uncultured ciliate. RNAcentral's name for it is "partial 18S ribosomal RNA". It matches the Rfam family "Eukaryotic small subunit ribosomal RNA", at positions 1486 to 1650 of the family's 1831-position model. The record is from RNAcentral. Lineage: Eukaryota; Ciliophora.